AGGGACUUAGGAUAAAAUUAGACCAAGAGCCUUCAAAGCUCCAAGCGGGAGUGAAAAUCUCCCAGCCCCUG
RNAcentral lists this transfer RNA (71 nucleotides) under Lepophidium profundorum (blackrim cusk-eel). RNAcentral's name for it is "tRNA-Trp". It matches the Rfam family "tRNA". From Rfam's summary of the family: Transfer RNA (tRNA) molecules are approximately 80 nucleotides in length. Their secondary structure includes four short double-helical elements and three loops (D, anti-codon, and T loops). Further hydrogen bonds mediate the characteristic L-shaped molecular structure. tRNAs have two regions of fundamental functional importance: the anti-codon, which is responsible for specific mRNA codon recognition, and the 3' end, to which the tRNAs corresponding amino acid is attached (by aminoacyl-tRNA synthetases). tRNAs cope with the degeneracy of the genetic code in two manners: having more than one tRNA (with a specific anti-codon) for a particular amino acid; and 'wobble' base-pairing, i.e. permitting non-standard base-pairing at the 3rd anti-codon position. The record is from RNAcentral. Lineage: Eukaryota; Metazoa; Chordata; Actinopteri; Ophidiiformes; Ophidiidae.